This 66-nucleotide transfer RNA is filed under the name Pityogenes trepanatus. RNAcentral's name for it is "tRNA-His". Lineage: Eukaryota; Metazoa; Arthropoda; Insecta; Coleoptera; Curculionidae. The record is from RNAcentral.
ACUUGAAUAGUUUAUGAAAAAUUUUAAUUUGUGGGGUUAAAGAUAUAAAGAUUUUUAUUUUAAGUA